Molecule: non-coding RNA, 630 nt
Organism: Coffea arabica (coffee)
Lineage: Eukaryota; Viridiplantae; Streptophyta; Magnoliopsida; Gentianales; Rubiaceae
Source: RefSeq, a predicted model, not a curated record
GAUGGAUGUGUCAAAUCCAACAUUCCCACAUCAAAAGCUGUAUUUGGAACCAUAUAAGGUUCUCCAUGAUUGUCUUUUAUUAAAUCUACCUCCCAGUUCCACCAUAGCUGUGAGCCUAUCACUGUCUCCCUCUGCCCUACCCAAUCCUGCAGGAGGAUAACAUGUGAUUCUUUACCUGUAGCCAGAAUGCAGAUAUCGGUACAUUGUAGGUCUGUAGCUGAUUCCAAACAUUGCGCACAGCAUCUGUUCCACCUUGCAUUCCCACAACAGCACCAGAUAUUAUCCACUCAGGAAGUUCUGGAGGUCUUCCAAUAGUUUCUGUGAAGUUUUCGAUCAGCUCAGUUGGUGAAUUUCCAUGCAAUAUCCUACCUUGAACAGAGUCUCCAUUGAUCUAAGAAUUACCAAAAAGUUUAGGCUGUUAACUCUUCUAAAAUUGGGAUGUGAAUAUUUAAUUGGCCCGAGAUGCACUGAGAGUAUCAUGGCAGCCUGCAACUGUUGAACAGAUUCUGAUAUUGCACUAUCUAUCGAAAUCUAUGCUGCUAUUAUGUGCUUUUGUACAACCUAUACUACAAAUUCAGAAAGUUGACCACUUAAUGGUCAUAAAUUGGAACACAUCAGAGCAUUUGAUGC